Long non-coding RNA from Corvus hawaiiensis (hawaiian crow), 858 nucleotides. RefSeq lists it as uncharacterized. Lineage: Eukaryota; Metazoa; Chordata; Aves; Passeriformes; Corvidae. The record is from RefSeq and is a predicted model, not a curated record. The transcript has 2 exons.
CCAACUCCUAAACUGGUUACGGAUAUCUGUAGCUUGAUAAAAACUUCAAUUGUACCUCAAAUAAAACAGACUCUCAAAGAUCAAAUACUGAAACAACUUGCCCAGAGAGGCUGUGGGAACUCCCUCCUCAGAGAUAUACAUAACUCAACUGAACAUGACUAAAAGCAACCUGCUUUAAUGGGAUCUGCCAUGAGGAGAAAGUUGGACUACAGAACUUGAAGAAGUCCCUUGCCACCUACACAAUUCUGAUAAUGUGACAUGAUAGUAGAUACAUUCAAAUUAGCAGUUCCACCCUGCCAGGGAAAGAGACUCCAAUAUCACUUCCUUUUGCCUAAAGGUUUUUAUGAAACCAUGGCCUGUAGGCAGGGAAGGCCUGUUCUGCAGUAACAAAUUAAUUGAUAAUUUUUUCCAUAUAUCACCAAGUAAAAUAUGCAAAUACACUGGAGAAGUCAUCUGACCUGAAUUCAAAGAGACUGGAGAUUUUGCCUGCUUUUAUUAUCUAGACAGCUUUGUCACAAACAGAAAGAGUGCCCUUUUCAUAAAGAACUACUUUCCUACCAUUUUAACUCACUGUUAUGAAAUCCCAUUUCUCUGCCUUUGUCCUUGUUAACCAUUUCUGAAUCUUCUUCCAGUUCUAUUUUUACUGAGACCGGGGGGAGGCUGCAGAAUUGAAUGCAGUAUCCAGGGUGGAGACAGAACAUGGAUUUAUAGACGCUGCAGAUUAUAUUUCAUUUAAGAGAGAAGAAAUAGAAAUGCACAUUUUGUGUAACUUUUCCUUUUACCAUGUCUACUGGCUUUUCGUUGUCUCUAAAUGUUUUAAAUUGCUUGAAAAUAAAAUGAAGAUUUUUGUUACCUGUU